RNAcentral lists this ribosomal RNA (334 nucleotides) under uncultured eukaryote. RNAcentral describes it as "partial 18S ribosomal RNA". It matches the Rfam family "Eukaryotic small subunit ribosomal RNA", at positions 1470 to 1796 of the family's 1831-position model. The record is from RNAcentral.
CCCUUAGAUGUCCGGGGCCGCACGCGCGCUACACUGAAGGAAUCAGCUUGGCUUUCUCCCUGACCCGAAAGGGUUGGGAAACCCGUUGAAUCUCCUUCGUGAUAGGGAUUGGGGCUUGAAAUUGUUCCCCAUGAACGAGGAAUUCCCAGUAAGCGCGAGUCAUAAGCUCGCGUUGAUUACGUCCCUGCCCUUUGUACACACCGCCCGUCGCUACUACCGAUUGAACGGUUUAGUGAGGGCCUCGGAUUGGUCUCGGCCCGCUCUUUACCGGGCGGCGCCGUUGGUCGAGAAGACGCUCGAACUUGAUCGUUUAGAGGAAGUAAAAGUCGUAACA